This 463-nucleotide ribosomal RNA is filed under the name uncultured bacterium. Its description in RNAcentral is "bacterial SSU rRNA". It matches the Rfam family "Bacterial small subunit ribosomal RNA", at positions 338 to 793 of the family's 1533-position model. The record is from RNAcentral.
CCUACGGGUGGCAGCAGUGGGGAAUUUUGGACAAUGGGCGAAAGCCUGAUCCAGCCAUGCCGCGUGCAGGAUGAAGGCCUUCGGGUUGUAAACUGCUUUUGUACGGAACGAAAAGACUCCUUCUAAUAAAGGGGGUCCAUGACGGUACCGUAAGAAUAAGCACCGGCUAACUACGUGCCAGCAGCCGCGGUAAUACGUAGGGUGCAAGCGUUAAUCGGAAUUACUGGGCGUAAAGCGUGCGCAGGCGGUUAUAUAAGACAGAUGUGAAAUCCCCGGGCUCAACCUGGGAACUGCAUUUGUGACUGUAUAGCUAGAGUACGGCAGAGGGGGAUGGAAUUCCGCGUGUAGCAGUGAAAUGCGUAGAUAUGCGGAGGAACACCGAUGGCGAAGGCAAUCCCCUGGGCCUGUACUGACGCUCAUGCACGAAAGCGUGGGGAGCAAACAGGAUUAGAUACCCCUGUAG